Molecule: ribosomal RNA, 557 nt
Filed under: uncultured bacterium
Lineage: Bacteria
Description: bacterial SSU rRNA
Rfam family: Bacterial small subunit ribosomal RNA
Source: RNAcentral
ACGGGUGCGUAACGCGUGGGAAUCUGCCUUGGGGUUCGGAAUAACUCCCCGAAAGGGGUGCUAAUACCGGAUGAUGUCGAAAGACCAAAGAUUUAUCGCCCUGAGAUGAGCCCGCGUAGGAUUAGCUAGUUGGUGUGGUAAAGGCGCACCAAGGCGACGAUCCUUAGCUGGUCUGAGAGGAUGAUCAGCCACACUGGGACUGAGACACGGUCCAGACUCCUACGGGAGGCAGCAGUGGGGAAUAUUGGACAAUGGGCGAAAGCCUGAUCCAGCAAUGCCGCGUGAGUGAUGAAGGCCUUAGGGUUGUAAAGCUCUUUUACCCGGGAAGAUAAUGACUGUACCGGGAGAAUAAGCCCCGGCUAACUCCGUGCCAGCAGCCGCGGUGAUACGGAGGGGGCUAGCGUUGUUCGGAAUUACUGGGCGUAAAGCGCACGUAGGCGGCUUUGUAAGUCAGAGGUGAAAGCCUGGAGCUCAACUCCAGAACUGCCUUUGAGACUGCAUCGCUUGAAUCCAGGAGAGGUGAGUGGAAUUCCGAGUGUAGAGGUGAAAUUCGUAGA